Andrographis paniculata is the source of this 510-nucleotide long non-coding RNA. RefSeq lists it as uncharacterized. NCBI's taxonomy places the organism in Eukaryota, Viridiplantae, Streptophyta, Magnoliopsida, Lamiales, Acanthaceae. The record is from RefSeq and is a predicted model, not a curated record. The transcript has 2 exons.
AAUUAUUCAACGUCUUUUUCUCAUAUAAAAUUAUUAUUUUCUUUUAAUAUUUAUUUUUUAUUUUAUAAAUUAAGUGGUUUAUUAAAAACAUGUCAUUAAGCUUCCGGCGAAUCUGUAUGCGGAAGCAACUCGAGAAUUUUCUAUGGAUGCACCAAAGAAUGUACGACCAGCCAGACGGAAGAAGUCUGUUCGAUGGUCGCCUGAAAGGCAGAUAAUUGGUAAGCUGAAAUUCAGUUUCGCCCAUUCGUCUAUUUUUGUUGUUUAGCGGAAUUCGCGUUGUUAGAACUAUUCUGAUUCCGAAUUGAUUCGCGACUUCAAUUCGUCAAUUUUGUUUUCUUGCGUCGAUUGCUGUGAUGAUGUAAUCGUUCCGCGACUCGGUCUCUGUAGAACCCUAGACCUCCAUACGGUGUCGUAUUACAUUACAUCGUAGUUUGACUGAUAGCAUUUUCUUCAUUAGAUGUAUACAUUUCAAAUAUGGAUGAUGCAAUUGUGAUUAGGGUUUUGUGAUUA